This 64-nucleotide transfer RNA is filed under the name Nepsalus petrophilus. Its description in RNAcentral is "tRNA-Leu". Lineage: Eukaryota; Metazoa; Arthropoda; Insecta; Neuroptera; Myrmeleontidae. RNAcentral also lists the same sequence under 2 other names. The record is from RNAcentral.
AUUACUUUGGCAGAUUAGUGCGUUGAAUUUAGAAUUCAAUAAUGUGAAUUUUUUACAUGUAAUA